UAGGCUGAUGCCCGCUGGUUUGGGCGCUUAGCUGUUAACUAAGAGUUCGUGGGAUCGAGGCCCUCUAGCCUAGG
Molecule: transfer RNA, 74 nt
Filed under: Jenkinsia sp. CL54
Lineage: Eukaryota; Metazoa; Chordata; Actinopteri; Clupeiformes; Clupeidae
Description: tRNA-Asn
Rfam family: tRNA
About the family: Transfer RNA (tRNA) molecules are approximately 80 nucleotides in length. Their secondary structure includes four short double-helical elements and three loops (D, anti-codon, and T loops). Further hydrogen bonds mediate the characteristic L-shaped molecular structure. tRNAs have two regions of fundamental functional importance: the anti-codon, which is responsible for specific mRNA codon recognition, and the 3' end, to which the tRNAs corresponding amino acid is attached (by aminoacyl-tRNA synthetases). tRNAs cope with the degeneracy of the genetic code in two manners: having more than one tRNA (with a specific anti-codon) for a particular amino acid; and 'wobble' base-pairing, i.e. permitting non-standard base-pairing at the 3rd anti-codon position.
Source: RNAcentral